GAUGAAGACUCUUUGUCUGAUUGCUAUCCUUCUAAGUUUCAUCUGAUGGAAUCAGAAAGUAUCAGUUUGGAGAUACAAAAGCUUUGAAUACAUGUGAACAAUAUAUGGAGGUGUUGUCAGGGGUUUUGGUUACAUGUCCUUGGAAAAUAGUGCAUAGAAAGAUGAAAUAUCAAAAAGAUCGCCUGAAAAUACAGAGCCUUGGACUUUGUCUCUAGCAGCAGACUAAGAAGACUAAGAAGUCUCCUUUUCCAUUUCUACCAUGUUCUUGUGAUAUAAAAGGUUACAUUCAGUGAAUGCAGAACAGAUGAAAGAAAGAAAAAAAGGUUAUAAAAUCAUGUCAUUGUGGGCAAAAUGCCCAUUUAUAGCAGCACAGGUCAUCCCAGGAAAAAAAAAUCUUGCUACUGGACCUGGAAAUUCUCAAGAAAUAUUAUGAUAAUAGUUGGACACAAUUUAGUGAGACCCCUUUAUUUUACAUUCAUCCCCAUCCUGUCCAAUGGUUCCGUAAAAAAUGCCAUGUCAGGUGAAACGAUAUUACAGGGGCUGAAAUCCCAUGGCAACAAUAUCAAAAAUGGAUAUUUGGCCAGAGAGUGUUACAGUGAAUUUUCUCUGUGUCAUGGCAUAAUUAGGGUAUAAAUUGUCAAUGAUAUUGUCACCUUACCUGAAAUGGGUGUAAUUACAUCCAUUUUAGUAUCGGAAGCACUGGUUCUCCCCCCAAAAAAGUGGCUCUUUCUGUUCUCUACACUCUUGGAAGUAUACAGCCAUGAGGCUUCCUAAUUAUAGAUUAUGGUUGGUUUAUAAGGGCUGGCUGAGUCCAACCCACUUAUUUUACAGAUUAGGAGACUGAGUACCUGAAAGAUCAUAAGAUCUCCAGAGGGCCUUAAGGUCAUCAAGCUUAGGCCUUACAUUUUGGAAUGGAAACCAAGAGAAAUGAACUGCCCAAGAUUAUAAGCUAUAAACAUCAGAGUUUGGAUUUAAGCUCAAAUCUUCAGAAUGAAGAUCAAUACUAUAGACCUUGUUUGCCUUACUGAGUGAUGACAAAGAAUGUUGAAUAUAAAAGGUAGCUUUGAUGUAUCAUUUUUGUGUUGUUUUAUUUGAUCCUCAC
Molecule: long non-coding RNA, 1102 nt
Filed under: Sarcophilus harrisii (Tasmanian devil)
Lineage: Eukaryota; Metazoa; Chordata; Mammalia; Dasyuromorphia; Dasyuridae
Description: lncRNA (ENSSHAG00000030484.1)
Source: RNAcentral